This is a long non-coding RNA of Polyodon spathula (Mississippi paddlefish), 2093 nucleotides long. RefSeq lists it as uncharacterized. The record is from RefSeq and is a predicted model, not a curated record. NCBI's taxonomy places the organism in Eukaryota, Metazoa, Chordata, Actinopteri, Acipenseriformes, Polyodontidae. The transcript has 3 exons.
UACUGACAGGCGGGUACACUGUAUCUCACAUGUAAUGUGGUGUUUUAGAGUUCAUAAAAUGACUAGUUUAACAGGUACACGGGGUAAACAAGUGUCCUAGUCUGAAGUGCGUCACACACGGUUUUUUUUUUUUUCUGGGAGACGCUUAAUAGCAAAACGAAUGCACUAAGCAAAAUGAAGCACAGGGAGUGAUGAAGACAUUUAGUUCAAAUACAACGAUUUGUUGCACAUUUUUACUAGUCAAUAUGUCUAGACGGUUAUGAAAUUUGAGACAAGAUAAAGCCCAUGCAAAGAGACAAUCCUUCAAUCAGUUAGCUAGAUUUGCUUGCAAAUCGACCCCAUCAACACAAGCAGGGAUAUUCUUACUUUUUCUAAUGGUCUUUCUGAGCGCAGUAAAACGAUUAGAUGGACUGUGGACACACCAAGAGGGGGGUACGCUUACAAAACAAACAGCUCUCCACUGACUAAAUAAUUUGUGGAUCUCAGCUUAACUUGGAACUUUAGCACAGACUCAGGAAGUCCUUAAGAUCCGGCGACCUGAACAGGUCUUCAGCAGCAUGUGAAGUGGCUUUACAGAAUUGUGUGCCUGUGCAGAAACCAUCCAAUUUCCUUUAACAUUUCCACCAAACAUUCAUAUUCUUAAGUUAAGGCAUCAUUAUUUUUUAAGUUCUGUAUUUAAUAUAUUAGUGGCAUAGUUAAUUAAAUCACUGCAAGCUUUGUUUUAUUUUUGUCCUUUUUAAAAAAAAAAAAAAGAGCCAGGAUUCAGGCAUUUCCUAUCACAGCCCACACUCAUGCCUCGCAAUACUGACAUCUGGGGUUAUUGCUGAUGCCUGAUUUGAUUCAUUUUUCACAUUUGGAAACCACAAUAAAUUGUAAAUUUGUGGUUUCUACCAAAUAUGUAAUUCCCUAAAUACUUUAAUUCCUCCAGAUGCUUGUAUAGUACAGGAGGGACUGUGUAAGAGAUCUGUAGAAUGGGUUACAGCAUUGUGAACUUGAAGCCCUGAGGUGGGGGCACUACUGCAUGCGACUGAGCUGCCAUUGCCCCAUGGACUCCACAAAACACACUGGAUGCCAAUGCUUCGCUGCAAUGAUGACUUGUCUACAUUUGGUUGUCGGGAGUCCGUGAAAAACAAUGGAUUUGUGUUGCCGUGGAAACCAGUAACAGAAUGAGAAGGGAACACAAAAACAGACAGUAAAAUAAACCCUAAAAACAAGAGCGGUCCAUGUCAGUUUUUUUUUUUGUCCUAGCGAUAUUAAAAUCACAUCCUUGUGUAACACUGGCUUUUUAAAAAGUGUUUGUUAUUAUGAACUAUAACAACAACCCAGUGUUUGGUAUUGAUGACUACAGCAUCCACAACACAAAAGCCCCAACUUCACAAUAAGAAAAUUACAAUUUUGGCUUGAGGCUGGCAUUCUCACUUCCACUUGUAAGUUAUUUUGUGUGAAAUUUUCCCAUUAUCAGCUGCAAAGGAGAAAUAGGUAAAAAGGGUUAAUGGGUUUCACCCAGCUUUAACAGACAAGUGAUUUUAAGACUAAGGCAGGGGUGCUGCACCUCCUGCAUUAUGGUUGGCAAGUCAGGCAGGUGGUUUAUUCAUUCAGGUGACACACUUGCUUAGCAUCUGGGGAAAUAGCUUUUUAGAUGUGCUGCUUUUUGUUUUUAAGCAAGUUUCAAAAUGCUUUAAGUGUUUAAAGAAAGUGUGAAUGGUAAAAUGGCCCCGUGUGAAACUAUGAACUGCCACUGCAAUCAGAAAUGAGGCAGUGCAAAGGUGAGUGGGCAGGACUUGACUACAUUGUACCAUGGUUUACUAUGAACCGUGCUGCAUCUAAAAGGUCGUACCCUAUAAGAUUAAAGCCUGCUGCAUUAGAGCGCAGAGGUUCCAUCUGGCUAUUUCCUGUGCUAGUGUUUUCAGUACUAAACUGGGAUUUCAGAUUGAUGGAAAACUUCAAGGCAGUGCUAAAGCAGCAACAAACUAGAAGCUGCUGCUGCUGCUGCAAAAUAUAUUUUUUUACGCUGCUUUACCGAAGUUGGAAAAAGCGUUUGCUACUCUUUAAAUCAUCCUCCAAAAAAGGAUUUUAGUCGUCCAUCCGUCCCC